This 249-nucleotide ribosomal RNA is filed under the name uncultured bacterium. RNAcentral describes it as "partial 16S ribosomal RNA". It matches the Rfam family "Bacterial small subunit ribosomal RNA", at positions 526 to 779 of the family's 1533-position model. The record is from RNAcentral.
CGUAGGGCGAAGCGUUGUCCGGAAUUAUUGGGCGUAAAGCGCGCGCAGGCGGUCAUUAAGUCCGGCGUAUAAGUGCGGGCUCAACCUCGUAAGGCACCGGAAACUGGAAGACUUGAGUGCAGAAGAGGAGAGUGGAAUUCCACAUGUAGCGGUGGAAUGCGUAGAGAUGUGGAGGAACACCAGUGGCGAAGGCGACUCUCUGGACUGAAACUGACGCUGAGGCGCGAAAGCGUGGGAGCAAACAGGAUU